Molecule: transfer RNA, 71 nt
Filed under: Microcaldota archaeon
Lineage: Archaea; Nanobdellati; Microcaldota
Description: Candidatus Micrarchaeota archaeon (hot springs metagenome) tRNA-Gly
Rfam family: tRNA
About the family: Transfer RNA (tRNA) molecules are approximately 80 nucleotides in length.
Source: RNAcentral
GCGUCUGUAGUCUAGUGGCAGGAUGCAAGCUUCCCAAGCUUGAGGCCCGGGUUCAAAUCCCGGCAGACGCA